RNAcentral lists this ribosomal RNA (232 nucleotides) under uncultured bacterium. Its description in RNAcentral is "partial 16S ribosomal RNA". It matches the Rfam family "Bacterial small subunit ribosomal RNA", at positions 99 to 334 of the family's 1533-position model. The record is from RNAcentral.
CGGACGGGUGAGUAAUGUCUGGGAAACUGCCCGAUGGAGGGGGAUAACUACUGGAAACGGUAGCUAAUACCGCAUAACGUCGCAAGACCAAAGAGGGGGACCUUAGGGCCUCUUGCCAUCGGAUGUGCCCAGAUGGGAUUAGCUAGUAGGUGGGGUAACGGCUCACCUAGGCGACGAUCCCUAGCUGGUCUGAGAGGAUGAUCAGCCUCACUGGGACUGAGACACGGUCCAG